RNAcentral lists this ribosomal RNA (224 nucleotides) under uncultured bacterium. RNAcentral's name for it is "partial 16S ribosomal RNA". It matches the Rfam family "Bacterial small subunit ribosomal RNA", at positions 15 to 235 of the family's 1533-position model. The record is from RNAcentral.
GAUCAUGGCUCAGAUUGAACGCUGGCGGCAUGCUUUACACAUGCAAGUCGAACGGCAGCAUGGAGAGCUUGCUCUCUGAUGGCGAGUGGCGAACGGGUGAGUAAUACAUCGGAACGUGUCCUGUUGUGGGGGGAUAACUACUCGAAAGAGUAGCUAAUACCGCAUAAGACCUAAGGGUGAAAGCGGGGGGACCUUCGGGCCUCGCGCAGUUGGAGCGGCCGAUG